Molecule: ribosomal RNA, 433 nt
Filed under: uncultured bacterium
Lineage: Bacteria
Description: partial 16S ribosomal RNA
Rfam family: Bacterial small subunit ribosomal RNA
Source: RNAcentral
AACGAACGCUGGCGGCAGGCUUAACACAUGCAAGUCGAACGCACCUUUCGGGGUGAGUGGCAGACGGGUGAGUAACGCGUGGGGAUCUACCCUUCUCUACGGGAUAGCUCCGGGAAACUGGAAUUAAUACCGUAUACGUCCUGAGGGAGAAAGAUUUAUCGGGGAAGGAUGAGCCCGCGUUGGAUUAGCUAGUUGGUGGGGUAAAGGCCUACCAAGGCGACGAUCCAUAGCUGGUCUAAGAGGAUGAUCAGCCACAUUGGGACUGAGACACGGCCCAAACUCCUACGGGAGGCAGCAGUGGGGAAUAUUGGACAAUGGGCGCAAGCCUGAUCCAGCCAUGCCGCGUGAGUGAUGAAGGCCCUAGGGUUGUAAAGCUCUUUCAGUGGGGACGAUAAUGACGGUACCCACAGAAGAAGCCCCGGCUAACUUCGUG